GAACGGGUGAGUACACGUGGGUGAUCUGCCCUGCACUUUGGGAUAAGCCUGGGAAACUGGGUCUAAUACCGAAUAGGACCACGCGCUUCAUGGUGUGUGGUGGAAAGCUUUUGCGGUGUGGGAUGGGCCCGCGGCCNANNNGCUUGUUGGUGGGGUAAUGGCCUACCAAGGCGACGACGGGUAGCCGGCCUGAGAGGGUGACCGGCCACACUGGGACUGAGAUACGGCCCAGACUCCUACGGGAGGCAGCAGUGGGGAAUAUUGCACAAUGGGCGCAAGCCCGAUGCAGCGACGCCGCGUGAGGGAUGACGGCCUUCGGGUUGUAAACCUCUUUCAAUAGGGACGAAGCGCAAGUGACGGUACCUAUAGAAGAAGCACCGGCCAACUACGUGCCAGCAGCCGCGGUAAUACGUAGGGUGCGAGCGUUGUCCGGAAUUACUGGGCGUAAAGAGCUCGUAGGUGGUUUGUCGCGUUGUUCGUGAAAACUCACAGCUUAACUGUGGGCGUGCGGGCGAUACGGGCAGACUAGAGUACUGCAGGGGAGACUGGAAUUCCUGGUGUAGCGGUGGAAUGCGCAGAUAUCAGGAGGAACACCGGUGGCGAAGGCGGGUCUCUGGGCAGUAACUGACGCUGAGGAGCGAAAGCGUGGGGAGCGAACAGGAUUAGAUACCCUGGUAGUCCACGCCGUANACGGUGGGUACUAGGUGUGGGUUCCUUCCUUGGGAUCCGUGCCGUAGCUAACGCAUUANGUACCCCGCCUGGGGAGUACGGCCGCAAGGCUA
Molecule: ribosomal RNA, 782 nt
Filed under: uncultured bacterium
Lineage: Bacteria
Description: bacterial SSU rRNA
Rfam family: Bacterial small subunit ribosomal RNA
Source: RNAcentral